Molecule: ribosomal RNA, 815 nt
Filed under: Saccharomycopsis sp.
Lineage: Eukaryota; Fungi; Ascomycota; Saccharomycetes; Ascoideales; Saccharomycopsidaceae
Description: partial large subunit ribosomal RNA
Rfam family: Eukaryotic large subunit ribosomal RNA
Source: RNAcentral
UUUGAAAUCUGGUACCUUUGGUACCCGAGUUGUAAUUUGAAGAUUGUUUCCCCUGGUCAGACUUUGGUUUAUGUUCCUUGGAAUAGGACAUCAUAGAGGGUGAGAAUCCCGUAUGACCUUAGAACCUGAUCGUUGUGGGAGGCUUUCGAAGAGUCGAGUUGUUUGGGAAUGCAGCUCUAAGUGGGUGGUAAAUUCCAUCUAAAGCUAAAUAUUGGCGAGAGACCGAUAGCGAACAAGUACAGUGAUGGAAAGAUGAAAAGAACUCUGAAGAGAGAGUGAAAAAGUACGUGAAAUUGCUGAAAGGGAAGGGCUUGAGGUCAGACUUGGUGUUUAAUACUUCUAUUCCCUUCGUGGGGGUACUACUUGUUUUUCACCGGGCUAAUGUCAGUUUCUGCGGCAGAUUGCCCUUGGUAAUGUAGCUUGUCUUCGGAGAAGAACAUAUAGGCCUUGGAUUUUUGAUCUGCUUGUGGAGACUGAGGACUGCGCAAUUUUAUUGCUAGGACAUUGGCGUAAUGACCUUAAGCCGCCCGUCUUGAAACACGGACCAAGGAGUCUAACGUCUAUGCGAGUGUUUGGGUGUUAAACCCGUACGCGUAAUGAAAGUGAACGUAGGUUGGGGCCUUCGGGUGCACAAUCGACCGAUCCUGAUGUUUUCAGAUGGAUUUGAGUAAGAGCAUAGCUGUUGGGACCCGAAAGAUGGUGAACUAUGCCUGAAUAGGGUGAAGCCAGAGGAAACUCUGGUGGAGGCUCGUAGCGGUUCUGACGUGCAAAUCGAUCGUCAAAUUUGGGUAUAGGGGCGAAAGACUAAUCGAACC